UACAGAGGUCUCAAGCGUUGUUCGGAUUCAUUGGGCGUAAAGGGUGCGUAGGCGGCGCGGUAAGUCGGGUGUGAAAUCUUGGAGCUUAACUCCGAAACUGCAUUCGAUACUGCCGUGCUUGAGGACUGGAGAGGAGACUGGAAUUUACGGUGUAGCGGUGAAAUGCGUAGAUAUCGUAAGGAAGACCAGUGGCGAAGGCGGGUCUCUGGACAGUUCCUGACGCUGAGGCACGAAAGCUGGGGGAGCGAACAGG
This 253-nucleotide ribosomal RNA is filed under the name uncultured bacterium. Its description in RNAcentral is "partial 16S ribosomal RNA". It matches the Rfam family "Bacterial small subunit ribosomal RNA", at positions 524 to 776 of the family's 1533-position model. The record is from RNAcentral.